GGGGAAUAUUGGACAAUGGGGGCAACCCUGAUCCAGCAAUGCCGCGUGAGGGAUGAAGGCCUUCGGGUUGUAAACCUCUUUUCUCAGGGAAGAUAAUGACGGUACCUGAGGAAGAAGCCACGGCUAACUACGUGCCAGCAGCCGCGGUAAUACGUAGGUGGCAAGCGUUGUCCGGAUUUACUGGGCGUAAAGAGCGCGCAGGCGGUCGUGCAAGUCGCGUGUGAAAGCCCCCGGCUCAACUGGGGAGGGUCACGCGAUACUGCUCGACUCGAAGGCAGGAGAGGGAAGUGGAAUUCCCGGUGUAGUGGUGAAAUGCGUAGAUAUCGGGAGGAACACCAGUGGCGAAGGCGACUUCCUGGCCUGUUCUUGACGCUGAGGCGCGAAAGCUAGGGUAGCAAA
RNAcentral lists this ribosomal RNA (399 nucleotides) under uncultured bacterium. RNAcentral describes it as "bacterial SSU rRNA". It matches the Rfam family "Bacterial small subunit ribosomal RNA", at positions 356 to 772 of the family's 1533-position model. The record is from RNAcentral.